This 850-nucleotide ribosomal RNA is filed under the name Staphylococcus epidermidis. RNAcentral describes it as "bacterial SSU rRNA". It matches the Rfam family "Bacterial small subunit ribosomal RNA", at positions 26 to 872 of the family's 1533-position model. Lineage: Bacteria; Bacillati; Bacillota; Bacilli; Caryophanales; Staphylococcaceae. The record is from RNAcentral.
AGGAUGACGCUGGCGGCGUGCCUAAUACAUGCAAGUCGAGCGAACAGACGAGGAGCUUGCUCCUCUGACGUUAGCGGCGGACGGGUGAGUAACACGUGGAUAACCUACCUAUAAGACUGGGAUAACUUCGGGAAACCGGAGCUAAUACCGGAUAAUAUAUUGAACCGCAUGGUUCAAUAGUGAAAGACGGUUUUGCUGUCACUUAUAGAUGGAUCCGCGCCGCAUUAGCUAGUUGGUAAGGUAACGCUUACCAAGGCAACGAUGCGUAGCCGACCUGAGAGGGUGAUCGGCCACACUGGAACUGAGACACGGUCCAGACUCCUACGGGAGGCAGCAGUAGGGAAUCUUCCGCAAUGGGCGAAAGCCUGACGGAGCAACGCCGCGUGAGUGAUGAAGGUCUUCGGAUCGUAAAACUCUGUUAUUAGGGAAGAACAAAUGUGUAAGUAACUAUGCACGUCUUGACGGUACCUAAUCAGAAAGCCACGGCUAACUACGUGCCAGCAGCCGCGGUAAUACGUAGGUGGCAAGCGUUAUCCGGAAUUAUUGGGCGUAAAGCGCGCGUAGGCGGUUUUUUAAGUCUGAUGUGAAAGCCCACGGCUCAACCGUGGAGGGUCAUUGGAAACUGGAAAACUUGAGUGCAGAAGAGGAAAGUGGAAUUCCAUGUGUAGCGGUGAAAUGCGCAGAGAUAUGGAGGAACACCAGUGGCGAAGGCGACUUUUGGUCUGUAACUGACGCUGAUGUGCGAAAGCGUGGGGAUCAAACAGGAUUAGAUACCCUGGUAGUCCACGCCGUAAACGAUGAGUGCUAAGUGUUAGGGGGUUUCCGCCCCGCAGCUAACGCAUAACUCCGC